CAAUUUCCAUUUCCAAUUUCCAACCCCAAUUCCGAUUUUAAUACAAAACCACGUAAGAGACGACGACCGAUAAAGAAACGACUCGUUAGCAGAUCAGACUCAUUGGACGGAAUCUUCAGCUGAGACGAGUUGUAAGUUGCAGG
Non-coding RNA from Cicer arietinum (chickpea), 143 nucleotides. The record is from RefSeq and is a predicted model, not a curated record. Lineage: Eukaryota; Viridiplantae; Streptophyta; Magnoliopsida; Fabales; Fabaceae.